RNAcentral lists this ribosomal RNA (253 nucleotides) under uncultured bacterium. RNAcentral describes it as "partial 16S ribosomal RNA". It matches the Rfam family "Bacterial small subunit ribosomal RNA", at positions 524 to 776 of the family's 1533-position model. The record is from RNAcentral.
UACGGAGGGUGCAAGCGUUGUCCGGAUUUAUUGGGCGUAAAGAGCGUGUAGGCGGCCAGGUAGGUCCGCUGUGAAAACUCGAGGCUCAACCUCGAGAUGUCGGCGGAAACCAUCUGGCUAGAGUCCGGAAGAGGAGAGCGGAAUUCCUGGUGUAGCGGUGAAAUGCGCAGAUAUCAGGAAGAACACCCGUGGCGAAGGCGGCUCUCUGGGACGGUACUGACGCUGAGACGCGAAAGCGUGGGGAGCGAACAGG